UAAAAUGGGAGGUAAAUUUCUCCUAAGGCUAAAUAACGGCGAGAGACCGAUAGCGAACAAGUACCGUGAGGGAAAGAUGAAAAGAACUUUGAAAAGAGAGUUAAACAGUACGUGAAAUUGUUGAAAGGGGAACGAUUGAAGCCAGUCGUACCUUCGGGUAAUCAGCCUUUCGGGUGCGAUUCUGUGGGGUGUGAAGAGUUAAACGCCUUCACGUUUUGCAUAUUCGUGCUCUUGGGUGUACUUGCCCGUGUGGUUGGUUAACAUCAAUUUUGGACGCCAUAAAAUGACUGGAGGAAUGUAGCUUCGAUCUUGUAUUGAAGUGUUAUAGCCUUCGGUAGAUGUGGUUUUCGAGAUUGAGGAUUGCAACGGAUACCCUUCGGGGCUACCUAUCUGAUCUCUGAUCGUUGCUCUGGUGCCGAAAGCUUGCUUACGGUUAUCAAAGUCGAUGGUCAAUAUGUUAGAAUGGGUUAAAUUCGUUAAGGAUGUUGACGUAAUGGCUUUAAACGACCCGUCUUGAGACACGGACCAAGGAG
RNAcentral lists this ribosomal RNA (533 nucleotides) under uncultured Rhizophagus. RNAcentral describes it as "LSU rRNA". It matches the Rfam family "Eukaryotic large subunit ribosomal RNA", at positions 288 to 673 of the family's 3401-position model. Lineage: Eukaryota; Fungi; Glomeromycota; Glomeromycetes; Glomerales; Glomeraceae. The record is from RNAcentral.